GACGAACGCUGGCGGCGUGCUUAACACAUGCAAGUCGAGCGGUAAGGCCCUUUCGGGGGUACACGAGCGGCGAACGGGUGAGUAACACGUGGGUGACCUGCCCUUAGCUCUGGGAUAAGCCUGGGAAACUGGGUCUAAUACCGGAUAUGACUCCAUGACGCAUGUUGUGGGGUGGAAAGCCUUGUGCGGCCUAGGGGAUGGGCCCGCGGCCUAUCAGCUUGUUGGUGGGGUGAUGGCCUACCAAGGCGACGACGGGUAGCCGGCCUGAGAGGGCGACCGGCCACACUGGGACUGAGACACGGCCCAGACUCCUACGGGAGGCAGCGUGGGGAAUCUUGCGCAAUGGGCGAAAGCCUGACGCAGCGACGCCGCGUGAGGGAUGACGGCCU
Molecule: ribosomal RNA, 389 nt
Filed under: uncultured bacterium
Lineage: Bacteria
Description: bacterial SSU rRNA
Rfam family: Bacterial small subunit ribosomal RNA
Source: RNAcentral